GAUAUGACAAGGCAGGAUGCAGCUAAAGCAGCUCCAAAUUGAGUUCGCUGGAGGACUGUCAUCGAUGGCCUAUGUUCCUCAUAGAACGACAGGCCGAAGUAAGUACAUGAAAAGAGUGCUCUUUCAACACUGCAUGGCAAUAUAAACAGUAUAUGCCUCAAAUUUUGAAGAAUCCUCAAUUCAAAUCCAGACUGCGGCAGCCCUACCAUGUAGCUGUUGGACUUGUAUGGGAUAACAAUAAUCAAAAGUCACGAUAUCCAUGCAUGGAUUUUAUCUCAUCUUGAUUAAAUGCAGAGAAAUCAUAUACAGUCUAUUUUGUGACAGAAACUGAA
Saccostrea cuccullata (small rock oyster) is the source of this 332-nucleotide long non-coding RNA. RefSeq lists it as uncharacterized. NCBI's taxonomy places the organism in Eukaryota, Metazoa, Mollusca, Bivalvia, Ostreida, Ostreidae. The record is from RefSeq and is a predicted model, not a curated record. The transcript has 3 exons.